Molecule: ribosomal RNA, 426 nt
Filed under: uncultured Bacteroidota bacterium
Lineage: Bacteria; Pseudomonadati; Bacteroidota
Description: bacterial SSU rRNA
Rfam family: Bacterial small subunit ribosomal RNA
Source: RNAcentral
AUGAUACGCGAGGAACCUUACCUGGGCUUAAAUGCUUAAUGACGUACUGGGAAACUGGUAUUUCUUCGGACAUUUUGCAAGGUGCUGCAUGGUUGUCGUCAGCUCGUGCCGUGAGGUGUCGGGUUAAGUCCCAUAACGAGCGCAACCCCUAUUGUUAGUUGCCAUCAGGUCAUGCUGGGGACUCUAACAAAACUGCCCGCGUAAGCGUGGAGGAAGGUGGGGAUGACGUCAAAUCAGCACGGCCCUUACGUCCAGGGCUACACACGUGCUACAAUGGCCGGUACAGAGGGCAGCCACUUGGUGACAAGGAGCAAAUCUCAAAAGCCGGUCUCAGUUCGGAUCGGAGUCUGCAACUCGACUCCGUGAAGUUGGAUUCGCUAGUAAUCGUAGAUCAGCAAUGCUACGGUGAAUACGUUCCCGGGCCUU